UACGUAGGCAGCAAGCGUUGUUCGGAAUUACUGGGCGUAAAGAGUGCGUAGGCUGUUUGUCAAGUUCGGUGUGAAAUCUCCUGGCUCAACUGGGAGGGUGCGCCGGAAACUGGCAGACUAGAGUGUGGGAGAGGAAAGUGGAAUUCCUGGUGUAGCGGUGAAAUGCGUAGAUAUCAGGAGGAACACCGGUGGUGAAGACGGCUUUCUGGACCAUAACUGACGCUGAGGCACGAAAGCGUGGGGAGCAAACAGGAUUAGAUACCCUGGUAGUCCACGCCCUAAACGAUGCGAACUUGGUGUGCGCUCUUCAUUGGGUGCGUGCCGUAGCUAACGCGUUAAGUUCGCCGCCUGGGGAGUACGGUCGCAAGGCUGAA
RNAcentral lists this ribosomal RNA (374 nucleotides) under uncultured bacterium. RNAcentral describes it as "bacterial SSU rRNA". It matches the Rfam family "Bacterial small subunit ribosomal RNA", at positions 524 to 898 of the family's 1533-position model. The record is from RNAcentral.